CGGAGGAUCCAAGCGUUAUCCGGAUUCACUGGGUUUAAAGGGUGCGUAGGUGGGCAGGUAAGUCAGUGGUGAAAUCUCCGGGCUUAACCCGGAAACUGCCAUUGAUACUAUCUGUCUUGAAUACCCUGGAGGCGAGCGGAAUAUGUCAUGUAGCGGUGAAAUGCUUAGAUAUGACAUAGAACACCCAUUGCGAAGGCAGCUCACUACGGGAAUAUCGACACUGAGGCACGAAAGCGUGGGGAUCAAACAGGAUUAGAUACCCUGGUAGUCCACGCCCUAAACUAUGGAUACUCGACAUCAGCGAUAAACUGUUGGUGUCUGAGCGAAAGCAUUAAGUAUCCCACCUGGGAAGUACGAUCGCAAGAUUG
This 368-nucleotide ribosomal RNA is filed under the name uncultured organism. RNAcentral describes it as "bacterial SSU rRNA". It matches the Rfam family "Bacterial small subunit ribosomal RNA", at positions 526 to 896 of the family's 1533-position model. The record is from RNAcentral.